This is a long non-coding RNA of Anguilla anguilla (European eel), 429 nucleotides long. RefSeq lists it as uncharacterized. The transcript is spliced from 2 exons. The record is from RefSeq and is a predicted model, not a curated record. NCBI's taxonomy places the organism in Eukaryota, Metazoa, Chordata, Actinopteri, Anguilliformes, Anguillidae.
AAUUCCCACCUCAUGGCUAUUUAAUUAUUUCAUGUUGUAUUUCUGAAUGGAUUUUUUCAUUUCAUAAUGACACUUCUCCGAAUUACGUAUUUCCGAAUGGCGUUUUUAUUUCCAAAUUUCAUAAUGAUACUUUUCAAAAUGCCAAGACCUCGCUAGGCUAUACUGAGAAGAAAAAAAAAAAACAUUUUAAUUGCUAUCUUGGUUAAACUAAAUCUGAAUUUAUUACAUCUUCAUUGGGGAUUUGUAGCAGAUACUGCUAUCCAAAUCAGUUUACGCAGCUCACAUUUCUUUGUGUACAAUUAAUUUAAUACAGCUGCUAUUUACUGAGGCAUUUCAGUUUCUGCACCCUACUGCUUGGUAUAGUUUUCCUCACUGCUCCACAAGGGCUGUAGGUUAAGGCUUACUUUCUUUUUUUUCACUUAGUGAAAG